GUGCAGUCCUCUAUUGUGUUUAUUGAUCUUAAUAAGAGUCCACCAAGCUGUUAAGUGAUGGGAGCCCACACAUAAAAUCAACCAUGUGUUCCUGGUAGAUGAUCGGCUCUGGUGAUUCAUGGUAAUAGCUUCAUAUCAGCGGUGAAGAUAUCUCUACAGCUCAGCAAAGCAUACACAACACAGUCAGCUGCGGUAGAAUACAACUUUCGGAAUGACUUGAAGGACACUUUACAAAGGGUUUGUAAAUUGUAUAAAUGGGCUGAUUAAUAUUAAUAUCGCCCCAUAAAUCAAUAAAAAGUCGUUUUAAGCAGGUGACCGGGUUUUAACCAGGUCCCUCUGUAACUUGUAUUGUCUUUUUAGCUGUCUUGUUAUCAGAGCGUGACGGACUAAUGGUCCUGUAUCAGUGACCUCCUAACAUCUGUAUCUUCAGAUUUGAUGGCUCAUUAGGAAGUGAGGAAAAGGGUGAUGAGUUAGGAGACAUUGCAGUAUUGUAACAAAUGUUGGCCCUUACUGAGGGUUUCUCUACCACUCCAUCUGAAGCUGGGAAUGUUAAAAGUUGCAUUUAAAGAGCUAAAUAACUCUACGUGUAGGCACUAUGAAUAGUGCAUUCAACUAAACACUGACAGCACUGUGCUGAUGUUCUCACAGUGACAAUGCUAACAUGCAGCAUAUUCAGAGGGUCUCUGUGUUGUGGUGGAAGCCUGUUAUUAGUUUGCGUUAGUGGACCCCGUUAACUAACAUCAGCUACAGUUGCUCUCUGUUAGCUACGAGGCAUACCAGAGUGUGCACAGUCACAUGGGAAAAAGUGACCUGAGUCUUUCAUAGAGAAAUCCACUGUCCAGCAUCGAUGAAAACAACUCAGCAUUGGUUUUGCACUGGUUAGGCACUGAGCUUGUUUUACCAUGCGGCUGUUACCAUGGUUACACUGGCCUGUUUACCCUGACAAGACUGAUGUACUGGCUGCCAACAUCCCUGUUUGUAAAAUACACUGGAAAGUCUGGGAAGAGCUCAGCACCAAAGCCUAACGAGAAGUAGAAGGCACCGACUGCGCCCAGCAGCAGUAGGAGGGCCCCGGCGAUGAGCACUGCGAUCCCGGCCUUCAGGAGGCGGCCGGUGGCGGCGGGUUUCACGGCCACGGCGGAGUAGGCCUACGGCAAGACAGACAAGCCAAGAAAUAAAUAAAAUAAGACAUGUUCAUACAUUCAA
Acanthopagrus latus (yellowfin seabream) is the source of this 1206-nucleotide long non-coding RNA. RefSeq lists it as uncharacterized. The transcript has 2 exons. NCBI's taxonomy places the organism in Eukaryota, Metazoa, Chordata, Actinopteri, Spariformes, Sparidae. The record is from RefSeq and is a predicted model, not a curated record.